This 479-nucleotide ribosomal RNA is filed under the name uncultured bacterium. RNAcentral's name for it is "bacterial SSU rRNA". It matches the Rfam family "Bacterial small subunit ribosomal RNA", at positions 20 to 498 of the family's 1533-position model. The record is from RNAcentral.
CAGCUCAGAACAAACGCUGGCGGCGUGCAUAACACAUGCAAGUCUAACGGGAAAGUCGGCUUCGGCUGGCUAGUACCGUGGCGAACGGGUGAGUAACACGUGGGUAAUCUAACCUCGAGUUUGGGAUAACCUUGCGAAAGCGGGGCUAAUACCGAAUAAGACCACGUCCUGUCCGCAGGGCGCGGUAAAAGGUGGCCUCUUCCUGAAAGCUAUCACUUGAGGAUGAGCCCGCGGCCUAUUAGCUAGUUGGUAGGGUAACGGCCUACCAAGGCGACGAUGGGUAGCCGGCCUGAGAGGGUGUACGGCCACACUGGCACUGAGAUACGGGCCAGACUCCUACGGGAGGCAGCAGUGAGGAAUAUUGCGCAAUGGGGGAAACCCUGACGCAGCGACGCCGCGUGGGCGACGAAGGCCUUCGGGUCGUAAAGCCCUUUUGGCAGGGACGAGAGAGGACGGUACCUGCCGAAUAAGUCUCGGCA